Long non-coding RNA from Daphnia carinata, 478 nucleotides. RefSeq lists it as uncharacterized. The record is from RefSeq and is a predicted model, not a curated record. NCBI's taxonomy places the organism in Eukaryota, Metazoa, Arthropoda, Branchiopoda, Diplostraca, Daphniidae. The transcript has 3 exons.
AAUUAAAAUUUUAAAAAUUUUAUGUUAAAAACCGUCCGCCAUUGUUUGUGGCGUCCUGACGCUAGAUUUGACUUGAAAAUGCCGUUCCCUGAAGAAAAUAACAAUAGACUUGUUUCGUAUAGUUUGAUCUAUGGAGUGAUCAGUGAUAAUGUUGAGAAAUCAAGGAAAUGAGAACCCAAAAAAUCAUGAUUUCUAGCUUAUUGACCAACAUUGCAAUUGAAAGUGUAUCUACAGUUGACGAUCUCAAUAGCAAUAAGGUUGGUGUUGAACAGGAAGAAUGUCUAGCAGCUAACACCUCACACUUAACAGGGAAAAGGCUGGAUUUGUCUGAUAGAACAAUGAAAACCAAACUUAAAAGGAGUUAGAAAAAUUGAAGAAGAAGAAAUUAAAAAAGAAAAAUAACAAGAAGUGGUCCUGAAUUGCCCAACUUGCACAAGCCACCGAGGCAGCAUCAGUGUCAUCAACCUCUGAUCCCACA